UACGUAGGGUGCAAGCGUUGUCCGGAAUUAUUGGGCGUAAAGAGCUCGUAGGCGGUCUGUCGCGUCUGCUGUGAAAACCUGGGGCUUAACCCCGGGCCUGCAGUGGGUACGGGCAGACUAGAGUGCGGUAGGGGAGACUGGAAUUCCUGGUGUAGCGGUGGAAUGCGCAGAUAUCAGGAGGAACACCGGUGGCGAAGGCGGGUCUCUGGGCCGUAACUGACGCUGAGGAGCGAAAGCAUGGGGAGCGAACAGG
Molecule: ribosomal RNA, 253 nt
Filed under: uncultured bacterium
Lineage: Bacteria
Description: partial 16S ribosomal RNA
Rfam family: Bacterial small subunit ribosomal RNA
Source: RNAcentral